Molecule: long non-coding RNA, 761 nt
Filed under: Anser brachyrhynchus (Pink-footed goose)
Lineage: Eukaryota; Metazoa; Chordata; Aves; Anseriformes; Anatidae
Description: lncRNA (ENSABRG00000018704.1)
Source: RNAcentral
AAAAUAAUCAGACUGGUAAGUGCAAACUUUUGUUGUGGUCUGUCUCAUAAACAAGUUAUGUGGUGAACACAAAGUCAGAUGCUGAUCCUUGCAGUGUCUGUUAAGUGCUGGCUUGUAGGAUUUUGUGGAAGGCAGGCUUGUAGGUAAGUUGAGCUCUCGGCCUGCUGGAAUCAGCUAGGGUUUUAGCUUCAUCUUCACCACCUCAGUUUGAGGCCAACCUUGGAACAAGAGCCUAUUACUGAGAUUGUAUUGGGGGUAAGCUGUUCUCAUGCCUUUAUCUUCUGCAGAGGCCUCACGAUGUGCUGAGGCUGCUUGGAGGAGGCUGGAAAGUGCCCCUGUUACCUGGGCAAUUUGUGAGCUUCGCGUUACAGAGUGAUGUGUCCUGGGCUUUCUUCAGCACAUGUUUGAGGGGAAGGAGAGUCUCACACAAAUUAGAAAAUUAAAGAUUUUAGUAUGGAAGGAAGCCAAAGGACCCAUCUGGAUCCAUCCUUUCUGAGUUAUGGCUCCUGUUUACAACUGCUCUGUAAAAAGAAGUCUAGAACUCAGUCUUUAAACUUCAGUCUGGAGCUACCAACAUCUACAGCAAUCUGGUCGUGCCUUCUCUUAUGUGGCAUUGCACUGAUGGCUGUUGCCACUGAAGGGAAGGAGAUUUCAUAAAGGCAUUGUUGAAGAAAGUUACAUCCUUCCCACCCAUGUCAACUUCCAUUAAGUCAACCCAAUUACUUCAGUGAUGUGAGUCCUCAGUGGCAGAACACAACCUG